UUCCGUAGGUGAACCUGCGGAAGGAUCAUUAAAGUUUGCUUAAUUGCAUCACACAUGUUUUUUUAGAGAACUUGCUUGCAAGAACACUAAUAAUUUACUUAGUCAAACACAUAAUAUCAAAACUUUCAACAACGGAUCUCUUGGUUCUCGCAUCGAUGAAGAACGCAGCGAAAUGCGAUACGUAAUAUGAAUUGCAGAUUUUCGUGAAUCAUCGAAUCUUUGAACGCACAUUGCGCCCUGUGGUAUUCCACAGGGCAUGCCUGUUUGAGCGUCAUUUCUCCCUCAAACCUCUGGUUUGGCGUUGAGUGAUACUCGGUUUACUUGAAAACAUGAAAAGCAUAACUAUUAGGUUUUACCAACUCGUUAUACUAAUCUACAAGUUUGACCUCAAAUCAGGUAGGACUACCCGCUGAACUUAAGCAUAUCAAUAAGCGGAGGAAAGGAU
Molecule: ribosomal RNA, 445 nt
Filed under: Fermentozyma sake
Lineage: Eukaryota; Fungi; Ascomycota; Pichiomycetes; Serinales; Debaryomycetaceae
Description: eukaryotic LSU rRNA
Rfam family: 5.8S ribosomal RNA (bases 121-274)
Source: RNAcentral